This 389-nucleotide ribosomal RNA is filed under the name Syndiniales sp. RNAcentral describes it as "partial small subunit ribosomal RNA". It matches the Rfam family "Eukaryotic small subunit ribosomal RNA", at positions 582 to 975 of the family's 1831-position model. The record is from RNAcentral. Lineage: Eukaryota; Dinophyceae; Syndiniales.
AUUCCAGCUCCAAUAGCGUAUGUUAAAGUUGUUGCGGCUAAAAAGCUCGUAGUUGGAUUUCUGUUGAGGACAUCUGGUCCGCUCUAUGAGCGUGCAUCUAGUUUGGCCUCGGCAUCCGUUCUGCAAACGUUUCUGCGCUUGACUGCGUGGUACGGAGGUAGGACCUUUUACUUUGAGGAAAUUAGAGUGUUCACGGCAGGCAAUCGCCUUGAAUAUAUUAGCAUGGAAUAAUAACAUAGGAUCUUGGUUCUAUUUUGUUGGUUUCUAGGGCUAAGAUAAUGAUUAAUAGGGACAAUUGGGGGCAUUCGUAUUGCGGUGUCAGAGGUGGAAUUCUUGGAUUACUGCACGACGAACUACUGCGAAAGCAUUUGCCAAGGAUGUUUUCAUUA